Molecule: ribosomal RNA, 253 nt
Filed under: uncultured bacterium
Lineage: Bacteria
Description: partial 16S ribosomal RNA
Rfam family: Archaeal small subunit ribosomal RNA
Source: RNAcentral
UACCAGCACCCCGAGUGGUGGGGACGAUUAUUGGGCCUAAAGCAUCCGUAGCCGGUUUUACAAGUCCUCCGUUAAAUCCAGCUGCUUAACAGAUGGGCUGCGGAGGAUACUAUAAGACUAGGAGGCAGGAGAGGCAAGCGGUACUCAGUGGGUAGGGGUAAAAUCCGUUGAUCCAUUGAAGACCACCAGUGGCGAAGGCGGCUUGCCAGAAUGCGCUCGACGGUGAGGGAUGAAAGCUGGGGGAGCAAACCGG